This 115-nucleotide transfer RNA is filed under the name Klebsormidium nitens. It matches the Rfam family "tRNA". Rfam says of the family: Transfer RNA (tRNA) molecules are approximately 80 nucleotides in length. The record is from Rfam by way of RNAcentral. Lineage: Eukaryota; Viridiplantae; Streptophyta; Klebsormidiophyceae; Klebsormidiales; Klebsormidiaceae.
GCCUCCGUAGCUCAGUCGGUUAGAGCGUGGGUCUUAUGUGACCACAUUGGGGCCUUCACCGGUCCCUGGGCCCUGAUAUAGCCCAAGGUCGUGGGUUCGAUUCCCUCCGGAAGCA